UACGGAGGAUGCAAGCGUUAUCCGGAAUGAUUGGGCGUAAAGCGUCCGUAGGUGGUUUUGUAAGUCUGUGGUUAAAGCGUGUAGCUCAACUACAUAACGGCCAUGGAAACUACAUAACUUGAGUGAAGUAGGGGUAGAGGGAAUUCCCAGUGUAGCGGUGAAAUGCGUAGAGAUUGGGAAGAACACCGGUGGCGAAAGCGCUCUACUGGACUUAUACUGACACUGAGGGACGAAAGCUAGGGGAGCGAAAGGG
This 253-nucleotide ribosomal RNA is filed under the name uncultured bacterium. RNAcentral describes it as "partial 16S ribosomal RNA". It matches the Rfam family "Bacterial small subunit ribosomal RNA", at positions 524 to 776 of the family's 1533-position model. The record is from RNAcentral.